Long non-coding RNA from Hippocampus zosterae (dwarf seahorse), 2338 nucleotides. RefSeq lists it as uncharacterized. Lineage: Eukaryota; Metazoa; Chordata; Actinopteri; Syngnathiformes; Syngnathidae. The transcript has 2 exons. The record is from RefSeq and is a predicted model, not a curated record.
GUCGUUCCUCCUGUGCCGCAAAGUUCGGGAAACCGGACGCUGUAUUUCGUAUGACUUCCUCCAUUUUGUCCACGCUAUUUACGGUAUUGACUUCCCCCCCCGUAAAAGGCGGCAUUGCUACAGCUCGUGUAAAGUACAAACGGAUGUCUUCCGAGAGCAGGUGACCGUGACGGACACGCUAGCUCGCUUCCCUCUCCGUCAACACUCCGUCAUCCGCGGAGCUCUCAACAGCACGAGAACGGAUUGUCGGGAUUUCUGUACUACGCGUGGGUUCAAGAACAUCAAGCAUGCGGGUGAGCCUUUUUGUUUGUUUGUUUUUCCAACAAAACAAAGAGACAAUAACCUCGGUCCUUUAUUUUGUGCGCAGUGACGAUUCACUUGAGAGGAAAUCGGCGGGCAGAGAUGACCUACAUGGUGAGUGAAGAAGAAGGGAAAACGGCGGCACAGCACAGUAGGUUUCUAUUUCUGGUUUGUGUAUGCAUGCACACAUUAGCGCUUCCUGCGCCCCUCCCCUACGCAUCCUCAACAGCCUUCGCUCUCACAUGAUGCCGCGGCCAUGUUAGACUUCUGUGUGUCUCUCCCAUCAUGCAUCUGUUUGUCCUGUCCCCCCCUAGCCCUCCCCCAUGGCGCUCACUGUGGACAUGUGACACUUUCCUCAAAAUAGCCCGUCUGCUCCUCCGCCCCUUUCGCACGAAUGUGAUAAGGUGCAGGCAUUGGGCGGCAAGAUACGCAUAUGAAUGAAUGAAUCGUGAUAGAUGAUCUUAGAGGGCGGGUGCAAAAAGGUGAUCAGUUAGGGGGAAUGAGGAACAUUCUUAAAUAACGAUUCCCUUAAAAUGUAUCGCAACUCAAGUUUAUAUCAAAGCAAGUCUUAAAGGCACAAAUGUGUUGAACUUCAAAGUUAAAUACAACUGAAUUGUACUGUACUUGAGCUGUUAUGCUUUCCCGAGGGGUCGCCUACAUUUGGCCUGUCAAUCACUUGCCAUACUGAUUUGAUGGGGGCGGGUUCAGAGAUUCGGUCCAGACUGAUUGAUGAAUUUAAAAUGCGUCACCCAUGGGCUUUCGUGUCUUUUGCGAAGCGGAAAUAGUUAAUUUGUCUGAAGACUGCAAAAUCACAUUGACAUUAAAAAUAUCUAGUGUGAUAUCAUUACUUUUUUUUUUUUUUUGGUGGCUAUAAACAGCAUGUUUGCGUGCACCUGUCGGAGAUAAAGCACAAGCAGUCUUUGAUCCCGGAUGAGACGAAGCGGCUAAAAUUAUUCCUCUCUGAUUUCCAGAUGACACAACACAAGACGGGCCGAUAAGAGACCCUCCUCAUCCUGCCGACGGGCCGCCUUUGGCGCAGCCUGCGCGCUAAUCGACGUUCGCCCUCUGCUGUUAUGUAAGGAGCUCAUCCCGGCCGCGACCUGCGAAUGAAAAAGUGCAAACUGCUGCAAGAUUUUCCCGCAGUUAUCCCCGGCGGUGUCUCGGCAGCAGUACGACGGCCGUCGUGCCACAAAUGAAAUCAAGGUUACUGUUCCAUCAGUUCUUUUCGUACGUGUUUGUCGGCGAUGGGUUUGGUCACGAGGGAGACGCCGAGGAUGACGAUGCAGGAGACCACAAAGAGGAUGAUGGCAAAGUAGAGGUAGUGAACGCCGCAUAUGAUGGUGGGACAGUUACUGGGCUCCACGCAGCUGCCUGUGCCGUAAGCAAACUCUGCAAUCAUCCUGGAUAAGCCGACGAGGAGGCCGAACAUGAGCCCAUAAAAGGCACCCUGUAAAAGAAAGAAGUUGGAACACACACACCCCAUCCCACCUCUUAAAAAGGGGAGACCCACCACCUCGGUAAGUAUUCCGCCACAACUACACUACGACACUCAUAUAUUUUAACCCUUUCACUUGUCCACUGUAGUAACCGCUGUCCCUGAAAGGUUUAAUGAUGGCGAUUAUGUCAUACUUGAAGAGUCAAAUAUUUUUGGGUGAUUCCCGGUGUAUGCCGCAAAAGGCUUCACAGCAACCGGCGGAGCUCAAAUUAAAACGGCAAAUUUGCCAACGUCGCCCCAUUACACAACGCCGAACUAAAAGCCGUCACAAAAAGACCUUUGCACAGUCAUUCUUGAACACGAUAAACGGAGCAGAGUUCAUCUCGCCGUUUAUACAAGCCUCCGGUAAACGACAUGAAAAGAACCACCGAACGGAAGGAACUCACGGAUUCAUUGACUCGUUUGCAGAAGAUGGCCAGAAUGAAAACGGCGGUGACGGGCGGUGCCAGAUAGCUGGUGAUGGACUGGAUAUAAUCAAAGAGUUGACCGCUCUGGGCCGACUGCACCACCGGGAUCCACGCGAUGCUCACGCCAAUCAGCGCC